Long non-coding RNA from Chinchilla lanigera (long-tailed chinchilla), 346 nucleotides. RefSeq lists it as uncharacterized. NCBI's taxonomy places the organism in Eukaryota, Metazoa, Chordata, Mammalia, Rodentia, Chinchillidae. The record is from RefSeq and is a predicted model, not a curated record. The transcript is spliced from 4 exons.
ACCUCCUUGAUUCAGAUGAUGAAGAAAACAGCAAUGGAAGAUGAGCACAAUAAACAAAAACAUCAAGACUUUCAGUUUCCUGAAGGUUCUGUGGGAGAUAUCAUUCCUGGUGCGACAUCCACGAAGGCAGAUGAUAACGAUAAGCAUGCCAUUCUUUAAGUGAUGAUCUAACUUUAAGAUCCUCUGCAUGUCUUUGAAGUUCUACAUUUUCAUAGAAUGUAUCUUUCUCUUCUGGAUCUUCUUAUUCACAACAUGUUUCUUAUCAUCUGCAUAAAGUCUGUUGUGAUAUUAAUCUCAAUUAUUUUAGGGGCUGGGGAUUUAGCUCAGCGGCAAAGCGCCUGCCUGC